AUUGAACGCUGGCGGCAUGCCUUACACAUGCAAGUCGAACGGUAACAGGUCUUCGGAUGCUGACGAGUGGCGAACGGGUGAGUAAUACAUCGGAACGUGCCUAGUAGUGGGGGAUAACUACUCGAAAGAGUGGCUAAUACCGCAUGAGAUCUACGGAUGAAAGCGGGGGAUCGCAAGACCUUGUGCUACUAGAGCGGCCGAUGGCAGAUUAGGUAGUUGGUGGGAUAAAAGCUUACCAAGCCGACGAUCUGUAGCUGGUCUGAGAGGACGAUCAGCAACACUGGGACUGAGACACGGCCCAGACUCCUACGGGAGGCAGCAGUAAGGAAUAUUGGGCAAUGGACGCAAGUUUGACCCAGCCAUGCCGCGUGAAGGAUUAAGGUCCUCUGGAUUGUAAACUUCUUUUCUCUGGGGCGAAAACCAGCUAUUCUUAGCUGCUUGACAGUACCAGAGGAAUAAGCACCGGCUAACUCCGUGCCAGCCGCCGCCGUAA
Molecule: ribosomal RNA, 493 nt
Filed under: uncultured bacterium
Lineage: Bacteria
Description: partial 16S ribosomal RNA
Rfam family: Bacterial small subunit ribosomal RNA
Source: RNAcentral